UUAUUAUGGAUCUGUUUGCUGUGCUGGAUUCUUUUGGAAGGAAGAGACAGCAAGAUGUGAAAAAUGCCCUACAGGGUUUUACCGAACAAACUGUUCAGAGAGAUGCAAGUAUCCAAAUUUUGGGGAAGACUGCCAAGGCGCAUGUACCUGUGCAGAAUACUUAUGUAAUUUUGUUACAGGUUGUGAUAACUAUCCGUUAACAACAGGGAAACUUCGUCCUGAAUCGAAUCUUCCGGCUUCAACAUUUUUUUCUGCUGAGGAAUCCACAUAUAUUAAAAUUGUAUAUAAGGAAAUCAUUGUAACAGAGCAAUCCGUCGCCACAUCUGGGGGAAGCGAUUAUUUUCAAAUGGGAAUAUUUAUUCUUGUUGGAAUUCUUGUUGUAUUUAUUGGUCUUUUUGUUGUCGCUUACUUUUACAAACACUUUCAUGUUAAAAGAGAUGAAAUAAAAAUACAGACCCACUUACGUAAUCAAGAAUUAGAGUACAAGGGACUUGAUUUUGAAAAGAUGGAAACAAAUGAAAUACAUGAAUUUCACAAUGACCCAAUACGAACUGAACCAGCGUAUUUGCAGGCAGUGGACAACAUAUCUGCACAGUACGAAGACGUGGUAUCAAAAAACACAUCAUCUGAUUCUGACUGCGAACAAUACAGAGGGAGCACGAAUUCUGAAUCUGAACAAUGCAGAGAAAACACAAAUACCAUAUCAGAAGAUGCGAAACGUAUAUUGAAAGAAAAUACUUACCUUUCACCAGAGAGCACGACCACUCACGUUUAUGUUGAAGUUGAAGAAAGUAACUUCUAUCAGUAAAGCGACAAAAACUCUUUUUAACACUGUUGGAAAAUGUACUUGCUGACAGUUUUCUUAAAAAAUGACGACAUGUUUUGUAGUUAUCAGUUCUGUCUUAAAUGGUGUCAAACAGUAAAUGUAAUAUCACUCCAAGAUUUCAGAGUAGAAAUAUUGGAAGAUUUUCAAAUUCUCCAUUUCG
This is a long non-coding RNA of Saccostrea echinata, 986 nucleotides long. RefSeq lists it as uncharacterized. The transcript is spliced from 3 exons. NCBI's taxonomy places the organism in Eukaryota, Metazoa, Mollusca, Bivalvia, Ostreida, Ostreidae. The record is from RefSeq and is a predicted model, not a curated record.